AUACAGAGGGUGCAAGCGUUAAUCGGAAUUACUGGGCGUAAAGCGCGCGUAGGCGGUUUGUUAAGUUGGAUGUGAAAGCCCCGGGCUUAACCUGGGAGGGUCAUUCGAAACUGGCAGACUAGAGUGUGGUAGAGGGUAGUGGAAUUCCUAGUGUAGCGGUGAAAUGCGUAGAGAUUAGGAGGAACACCAGUGGCGAAGGCGACUGCCUGGACCAACACUGACGCUGAGGUGCGAAAGCGUGGGUAGCGAACAGGAUUAGAAACCCCAGUAGUCC
RNAcentral lists this ribosomal RNA (274 nucleotides) under uncultured bacterium. RNAcentral's name for it is "partial 16S ribosomal RNA". It matches the Rfam family "Bacterial small subunit ribosomal RNA", at positions 523 to 796 of the family's 1533-position model. The record is from RNAcentral.